CCGUCCACUCUUCACCAUGUCCUCACCCUGACCUGGCUUCACCGUCCAGGAGCAGGAGAGGGAGACACCUCCACCGCACGGAAGAGGAAGGAAGGGGGUGUGAGGUGUCAUUGUCACACAGCAUCACAAACCACCAAGGUCCUCGGUGACACACGACGACGAGCUAGGCAUCCCUGCUCCACUGGCUCUAGGCUUGCCCACGUGACUCACUUAGGCCAGCGGACAUCUGGCGAGAGUCCCACGUGAUGGUUCUGGGGAGAAUGUGUCUGUUUCCAUCGAUGUCUUGCACUUUGGCCAUCACCACGAGGAAAGGCUUCCUCGGAGCAGCUGCCGCCCCUUGAGCUGGGCCCAGAAUGCACACACCUGGAGUGGAGUCAUCCCUGAGCAGGGAGAAGCCGAGGCUUCCAGCCACGCCCAGCCUAGAACAGGGACUCCAGGCCAAGCGCGGACGCUGCGCGAGGCCAACUGAGGUGAGCAGAGCUGCCCAGCUGCCCCUGUAGACGCUUAUGAGGUGGCACGAGGUUCUGGUUAUUGGCUACGUGUGCAGUGGUGAAGAUCCUCUGUGCUCGAGGAGCAAACCAGUGCUCAGAGAAGUCGAGUGACAUGUGCCAAAUCACACAGCAGACGUAAGGCAUCAGGGGUGAGUGGAGGCCCAACAUCUCUGCUGACCAACAGACGGUGAAGCCGGAGGCGGCUGGGAAACAAGGUCCUCCUUGACAAAAGCGGACAAGGCAGAGAACCCUCUUCCUUACCUUCUCCUUCUUGCUGUGGAUGAAGCAAAGGACAUAGAGCCUGGGCGUCGGCGGCCAUCUUGCAGCCUGAGGACAAAAGCCAACCCUCUAAGCACGGCGGGGUGGGAGGGUGGAGGGGGCCUGGGGCCUUGGUGACCUCACCGAGUUGGAGAGCCGACACUGGGACCUCUUUUCCAGAGUGGACUGUCCCAUGAGGAGAAUGAGCCUGAAUGACGAGGGGCUGCGGUCAGGUCCCCGGGCUGAACGUCCCGGCCUGCGUGGCACCCCCUCACCUCACAGCCGCCUUCCUGCCACGUGCCUGGGUCCACCCGCAGAGCAGGGGGUGUCCAAAAGGUGCCAGAGAGAGGGGAUUUUAAGUAGGCUGUGGGGGGCUGAGAGAACAAAAGGGAGACGCCAGGAACAGGGAGUUAAUCCCCCGGGCCUCACUGGGCAAUGCCACGAGGGACAGCAGACACAGGAGGCUCCCCUCCCCACUCUCCCCUGCCCAUCCCCACCAGUCCCCCAGCCCAGCACGACCACCACCACACAGCUAGGGACGAUCCGUCAGGAUGCCCUGGUGGGGAGACCCACCGCACCUGCCCUGUGGCCACACUGAGGUCCAGGCAGGUUCCCUGAAGGUAAAGCCCUGCUCAGUGCCCCCACCCUGCCACCUCAUCCAGGCCCCUCAUCUGCUUACCUGCUCACAUGCUCUGCCCUCCUCUGGGAAUCCUGCCCUGUCCUUGGACGCCUUCCCCAGUGCCACAUCCUUCAAGAAGCUCUCUUCAGUCCAGUCAACCCCGACGGACUCCUUCCAGACCCUGCCCAUCCUCCUCCCAGCCUUCUCGCACCUUCCCCAGGGCCUCUCCCCGGGCUCCUGCGGUCCCUCCCAGCGGGCUCCUCCCUCUGACUCCUGCCCCAUCUCUUCCCAUGGUGACCUGCCUAUGUCACCUCCUCAGAGAAGCCCUCUCUGAUACACCAACACCAACAUGGGAAACCUCCUGUUAGUCUGUUAUGUUGACUGAGAUUUUUCCCUUUAUAAUACAUAUUCGAUUUGUAACUUUUUUUCAUUUGUCUUCUUGUUCAUUGUCUGUCUACAGCAUCAGGUUGAUUGAUUCCCACUGUAAAUAUGGGUCUUGGUUCAUAGUAGACAUCUAUCUAUAAUCUAUCUAUAAUCUAUCAUCAUCUAUCAUCUAUGAAUCAUAAUAUAAUAUAUAACAUGUAAAAUAUAUGCUAUA
Acinonyx jubatus (cheetah) is the source of this 1966-nucleotide long non-coding RNA. RefSeq lists it as uncharacterized. The record is from RefSeq and is a predicted model, not a curated record. The transcript is spliced from 3 exons. Lineage: Eukaryota; Metazoa; Chordata; Mammalia; Carnivora; Felidae.